RNAcentral lists this ribosomal RNA (447 nucleotides) under uncultured bacterium. RNAcentral describes it as "bacterial SSU rRNA". It matches the Rfam family "Bacterial small subunit ribosomal RNA", at positions 330 to 792 of the family's 1533-position model. The record is from RNAcentral.
CCCAGACUCCUACGGGAGGCAGCAGUGGGGGAUAUUGCACAAUGGGGGAAACCCUGAUGCAGCGACGCCGCGUGGGCGAAGAAGUAUUUCGGUAUGUAAAGCCCUAUCAGCGGGGAAGAAGAAAUGACGGUACCUGAGUAAGAAGCACCGGCUAAAUACGUGCCAGCAGCCGCGGUAAUACGUAUGGUGCAAGCGUUAUCCGGAUUUACUGGGUGUAAAGGGAGCGCAGGCGGCACGGCAAGCCAGAUGUGAAAGCCCGGGGCUCAACCCCGGGACUGCAUUUGGAACUGUAAGGCUAGAGUGCGGGAGAGGUAAGCGGAAUUCCUAGUGUAGCGGUGAAAUGCGUAGAUAUUAGGAAGAACACCAGUGGCGAAGGCGGCUUUCUGGACUGAAACUGACGCUGAGGCACGAAAGCGUGGGGAGCGAACAGGAUUAGAUACCCUCGUA